ACGUACAUAAGUGAAAGAGUAUAAGAAUACUGGCAGCCAAGGCCUACCAUGUUUGUGUAUUUCAAGGCCCAUGUUAAAUGAAAAAGUAUGUGCAUCACCUACUCUAUAUUUUAAGGGAAAAUUAGCCAGCCAAAGUAGGUUCCUUUUAGAUUUAGGAUAAGAUCAUUUUGUUCAUUUUAGCUUAGAAAAAUUUAUAUUUCUUGAGUCUUCUCUUUUACAUUCUCUUAGCUUCAACAACAACUCUAAAGUUCCUUUAGGAUUCUUAGGAUUUUUUUUCCAUCCAAAUUGCUGGUAAGUGAAAAAUUAUGAGCUCCUCUUAAAAAAGAAUAUAGUAGUUAUGUUCUUCAUUUUUAAAUCAUAGGACAACCAUCUACAAGUUUGGUUAUUCCUUUUUUGUUGGUUAUUCAGAUUUUUCUCUUCUACUUUGGAUUGUGUUUGAAGGAACAAAUAUAUAGAAGUGAUAUAAUUUAAGUGCUAAUCUAUCAUAGUAACAAUUAAGGUAAGGCUAUUGCCUAAUUUUCCCAGUCCUAUAUAGAUGUUUUGAUGGACAAUUGUGUGUAUAUUAUUUAUAAGAAUUCAAGGGAUGGUGAGUUCGAUAAUCAUUUCUAUAAUAAAUUACGCAUAUAUCUUGUGGACAACUUAGUGGAUAUUCGGGAAAUGAGUGAAUGUAGUCUUAGGAAAAAGGGCUGCUGGAACGCCUUCGAUUUGAUAAAUUAUGGGAUUAUUGCUUGGAUACUAUUUUAGUGUGAUAGUUAAGCUUAAAUGUAUUGGUUAGAUGCUAAUAAUAUUUUUACUACUUACUCUAUAGAUUAGUAAUUAGGAAGGAAGGAGGUAUUGAGGUGCCAUAUGAGUUAUACAUCAAGGCUUCUCAGGAUUCUUGAUCCCAUACUUUAGGCCAGAAAUCUGACUCGUGUUAAAAAUAGGGUAAGUGUUCAUUAAAAAUAGUAUGUAAUAGAAGCUUUCAACCUCCAAUGUUUCUAACAACAUUGUUCCCACUCAUUAGUGGGUUAAGGCACUUCUAAAUGAGUUUUUGAGUAUAUCUACACAUUUAUUCUUCUAAGUACUUGUAUGAAAAAGGCACUUUCAAAAAUAAGAUUUAUGAGUUCUUCUCUUUGUCAAUCAUGGUCAUUUGUGGCAUUUAAUCAUCUCAUUGCUACGUUGUUUUUACUAUUUCUUCCUACAUUAUUUUUACGGUAUCAAAUGCAUAUUUAUGUCGUUCACUUAUAGUCAAAAGUUUAGAAUUCAAUAAUAUUAUGUCCAUCAAAAUAACACUCAUAAAGAUAAAUGGAAUGAUGUAAAAUGAAACUAUAUAUUAAUGGGUGGAUUUCCAAGGGGAAAUGUCUUCCAUGGGCCAAUCAUAAUCUAUAUAUUAUGGGUGGUAUCCUAACGGUGAAAAAAAAUCCUGGCAUAGGUAGAUCUUGAUUUGUGUAUUUAUGAGGACAUUAUUAUUGGGUCUAAAAUUCAUAGAAUUUUCCGUUCUCUUUAACAACAAAUCUAAUGGUCACUGGUGUCGCAUAACUUACAAUGUUUAUAAAGCAAUGAAGAUAAAGAAAAGUAAUGAAUGUAAUGUAUAUGAUUCCAUAAAUACAAUAAAAGGUGGUCAUUUGUUCUUACCUAUACAUUUGUAUCUGAUGUUAUUUGGGUUUAUUUUUUGCAUAUGUUUACUUUAUAUCUUACAUAUUUAGUACUGUCUUUCAUGCUGACGCCCCUUGCAAUGAGGAAUACUAUUUUUCAUUUUAUUGGCGUAGGUACUCCAUUAAUAGAACUCAUAAAUAUGAUACUAUGGAAAUAGGAUUUUGUUGUUGAUCUCUAGUUUAAUUAGGAGAUUUAUAGAGUCUUUUGUGAUCUUGGGUAGAUUUAUGCAUCUAAAUGUCAAUAUCUAUGCUUAAUUAGUCUCAGUUUUGGGACUUCUUGUGUGAUUAAUGUUGUAUUAUUUGUAUAAAUAAGAAUAUAAGUGUUAAUUUAUGUGUUUUUGGUUUUAAUGGUGUGUUCAUAAUGAGUUUUGAGUUAAAACAUUAAGUUAAAGUUCUAAUGUGAAAAGUAGUACUCUUAGAUUGAGUUAUGUUUCUUUCUAUGUCACCGUAUUGGAUUCUCAGUUGUUUUGAACUCUAAUUCGAGGUGUGUAUUGGUAUAGGAAUCUUGGUUACUUAACAAAGAUGAUGUGUGGUAUACUAUCUCUGAUAAUAGAGGAAACAAAGUGACAAAGCUUGGGGUUGAAGGCCAAAGGCAUGGGACUAAGUUUAAAGAAAUAUGGAAAAUUGGGACACAUUGGCAUGCCACACAGCUUAGAGGGAGUAAUAACGGCCUGACACACCCUUGUAUUUAUUAUAAGAAGUUUUUUCCACUAUCCCUCCAUGAUUUCAAUGUGCUGCAAGCCUAUUCUAUGAAAUCAGGGCAUGGCAUAGAGGUUAUGUCAAUUUAGCAAUUUCUGUCCUAUUAUAAAUAGAACACUUAAACAUUAUUGUACACACCUUGGACGACCUUAGGGCUUGGAGACACAUUUUAUAUGGAGGAAAAUAGGGCAUUUAUUCCUUUAUUUUAUAUUGUUAACGGAUUUUAAUAUGAAUUCAUCUAUUGUGAUUACGUGUAUAUGUAUGAGCGGC
This 2603-nucleotide long non-coding RNA is filed under the name Capsicum annuum. RNAcentral's name for it is "long non-coding RNA (CANN_LNC016004)". Lineage: Eukaryota; Viridiplantae; Streptophyta; Magnoliopsida; Solanales; Solanaceae. The record is from RNAcentral.